AACGAACGCUGGCGGCAUGCCUAACACAUGCAAGUCGAACGAGACCUUCGGGUCUAGUGGCGCACGGGUGCGUAACGCGUGGGAACCUGCCCUUAGGUUCGGAAUAACUCCCCGAAAGGGGUGCUAAUACCGGAUAAUGUCUUCGGACCAAAGAUUUAUCGCCUUGGGAUGGUCCCGCGUUGGAUAAGCUAGUUGGUAGGAUAAAAGCCAACCAAGGCGACGAUCCAUAGCUGGUCUGAGAGGAGGAUAAGCCACACUGGGACUGAGACACGGCCCAGACUCCUACGGGAGGCAGCAGUGGGGAAUAUUGCACAAUGGACGAAAGCCUGAUCCAGCAAUGCCGCGUGAGUGAUGAAGGCCUUAGGGUUGUAAAGCUCUUUUACCCGGGAUGAUAAUGACAGUACCGGGAGAAUAAGCUCCGGCUAACUCCGUG
RNAcentral lists this ribosomal RNA (433 nucleotides) under uncultured bacterium. RNAcentral describes it as "partial 16S ribosomal RNA". It matches the Rfam family "Bacterial small subunit ribosomal RNA", at positions 29 to 507 of the family's 1533-position model. The record is from RNAcentral.